CGACAAUUUUUUUGAACUAGUUUCGUGUAAGUAGGUCGUACAUAAACGAUAUCUGAAAUGUCUGUUCCUUUUGAAAUAAUUUACUGUUUUUAUGUUUUGAUUUUCACAACAGAAUGAUGCGUAUGACAAAACAACACCUGGUUGCAUAGUCAAGUUGAAGUGUAAAUAAAGCUCAACUUUUUUAGAACUUAUUCGGUAUUAUCAAUUUUCGUUUCUUUUAUUCGCUCUAUAGUGUAUUGCUUCGUCUUAAGAUUGAACCUUUCCAAUUACCGAGUUCAUCACCUCUACAUUUAUUGUAAAAAAGUAAUUGUACUGCAAUCUCUGACAAGCCAUCAUGACAUACUGACCUUUCAAUUACAUCCAAAAUUCCCUUUAGCUUGUCUUUGUUUGCUUCUUAAUGGAUGAUUUGAUCUACAAAAGAAAACGAAUCAUUAUUGGUAAAUUAAAUAAACAUCAGCAGCAUUCACGGAGCAAUUAAGAUACACACUGCCAACGUCAAUUACAAUAGAUUAAUGUCAAUUGCCUUUCUUUAGA
This is a non-coding RNA of Schizosaccharomyces pombe (fission yeast), 534 nucleotides long. Lineage: Eukaryota; Fungi; Ascomycota; Schizosaccharomycetes; Schizosaccharomycetales; Schizosaccharomycetaceae. The record is from the annotation of a GenBank genome assembly.